This 402-nucleotide ribosomal RNA is filed under the name uncultured bacterium. RNAcentral's name for it is "bacterial SSU rRNA". It matches the Rfam family "Bacterial small subunit ribosomal RNA", at positions 355 to 774 of the family's 1533-position model. The record is from RNAcentral.
UGGGGAAUAUUGGACAAUGGGGGCAACCCUGAUCCAGCCAUGCCGCGUGAGUGAUGACGGCCUUCGGGUUGUAAAGCUCUUUUGGCGGGGACGAUGAUGGCGGUACCCGCAGAAUAAGCCCCGGCUAACUUCGUGCCAGCAGCCGCGGUAAUACGAAGGGGGCUAGCGUUGUUCGGAAUUACUGGGCGUAAAGCGCACGUAGGCGGACAUUUAAGUCAGGGGUGAAAUCCCGGGGCUCAACCCCGGAACUGCCUUUGAUACUGGGUGUCUAGAGUCCGGAAGAGGUGAGUGGAAUUCCGAGUGUAGAGGUGAAAUUCGUAGAUAUUCGGAGGAACACCAGUGGCGAAGGCGGCUCACUGGUCCGGUACUGACGCUGAGGUGCGAAAGCGUGGGGAGCAAACA